AUUGAACGCUGGCGGCAGGCCUAAUACAUGCAAGUCGAGCGAGCGGCGGACGGGUGAGUAAUGUCUGGGAAACUGCCUGAUGGAGGGGGAUAACUACUGGAAACGGUAGCUAAUACCGGAUACUAUCAGAUGGGCCAAGCUGGGAUUAGCUAGUAGGGGAGGUAACGGCCCACCUAGGCGACGAUCCCUAGCUGGUCUGAGAGGAUGACCAGCACCACCUGAACUGGGACACGGUCCCGACUCCUACGCUAAGCAUCAGUUACUAAUAUUUCAGAAUUGUGGCAAGCCUGAUGCAGCCAUGCCGCGUGUGGGAAGAAGGCCUUAUGGUUCUCAAAAACUUUAAGCUAGGAGGCGUUACUCGCACAGUAAGCCCCGGCUAACUCUGUGCCAGCAGCCGCGGUAAUAC
RNAcentral lists this ribosomal RNA (406 nucleotides) under uncultured bacterium. RNAcentral describes it as "partial 16S ribosomal RNA". It matches the Rfam family "Bacterial small subunit ribosomal RNA", at positions 30 to 526 of the family's 1533-position model. The record is from RNAcentral.